This is an RNA transcript of Bactrocera neohumeralis, 4481 nucleotides long. It is a transcript of the gene named eukaryotic translation initiation factor 4B-like, with no coding region annotated. The record is from RefSeq and is a predicted model, not a curated record. The transcript has 5 exons. NCBI's taxonomy places the organism in Eukaryota, Metazoa, Arthropoda, Insecta, Diptera, Tephritidae.
CACUGAUAUUCAUACAUGGUGAUGUGGAUAAAUAUAGAUAUAUACGUAUGGAAAAAAGGAAAGAAGAAGGGCACCGUAAUAUCAUUGCAGUCUUUUCUGGCAAAUGGUGAUGUACCCGUGGGAAUCACACAAGUAGCUAAAAAAGUAAGGAACCUUGAGGGUGAAGAGAGUGACGAUGGAGUUAAUACUAUGCCUCUAGUUUUUCAAUUACCAACUGCUCCUAGAGCAAAUCGUAUAUUUGAUGAUGAUUCCGUUCCACAUAGCCCUCCAUAUAUUGCAUAUUUAACCAACCUUCCUUUUGAUGCAAAGGAAGAAGAUUUACAAGAAUUUUUCGGAGCAACACCAAUAUUAUCUUUGCGUUUACCUCGUGAGGAAGGCGAAACAGGUCGAGUAAGAGGAUUUGGUUAUGUUGAGUUUGAGAAUAGAGAAGACUUAAUCAAUACUCUAAGUUUGCCAGACCCAUCUAUUAAAGGUAGAAGAAUUAGAAUAGAACUUUCAAAUGAGAGUGAUAACCAAGGUUUUAGGCAAAGAGGAAAUCGUCGUGGCUUUGAUGGUUUCAAUAACAGUGGAGAAAAUAGGGAAUCAACCAAUUGGCGUCGAGACAACAAUACUAAUAAUUCCAAUGAUGGUUAUGGUAAGCACUUUAGUCGAGAAAGAAAGUAUGAACCAGAUGAAAAUAAAUCUAAUAGCUCUUGGCGGUCUGAAAUCAGAACUAAUACAAACCAAAGUCUUGAGUCAAAAUUCAGAAAUAAAGAUGCCGAGAGAGGUAUUUCAAUAAAAUUUAGAAGAGAUGACCAAGAAUUUGAAAGACCUAAACUUAAUUUGAAGCCACGUACAUUACCUCUGCCAGUUGUGAACAAAGAUUUAGAUAGAGACAUAGAAAGCAUAGAUGAAAAUGAAAGAAAAUUCAAACAAGGUGGUGUUACGUCUCAAAAGGUCUUUGGUUCUGCAAAGCCAGUUGAUACAGCAACUCGUGAAUUGGAGAUAGAAGAAAGAAUGACCGAAGCUCGUCGUCAGCAGCAGUUAAAGCAAGAACUUGAUCAAGGUGAAAUCAACGAUAAGAUUGGAGAUAUUCAGCUGGAGAAAACUAAUAAGGAUUCUACGAAUUAUACUACAAGCUGGCGUAGAAAAGAUGUUGGGGUGCAAAAUCUGGAUAACAACAGUGAGGGACAGAGUAGAGGUGGACUGGAAAUACAGAAAAUCGAAAGUCGUCGUUUUAACAGGGAUGAAAAUCUUCAGAUCAGAAAUCGUGAGUACUUUGACCGGGAUAAAGGCUUAAUACGUUAGAUAAGAAAAUAAACCAGAUCUUUCUCAAAACCGAUAUCGUCACAAUUCGAAAAAUGGCAAAAGUUCAGGAGAAGCAAACUAUUCUUCUAAAAAUUAUUGAAAUUUUACCGACGUUCUUCUGGCAGACAUAUCUUCUUUAAAGAGCAAAUAUUGUUGAUUUUCCAAUCAAACAGAGAAAUUAAAAUACUACAAAAAUUUACCUAACCGUAACACCUCAAAAUUUUUGCGACAUCAAUUAACUAUAAUAAUAUCAAUAAAUAACAGAUUUGUUAUAAAUUGCAUUGCUUUGUAAAGAACACACAUUUCAUACUUUAUUAUUAUCACUGAUUUUAGCAAUCUAUCAACUUUUAACCCUUUCAGGACCGCACCUAAACCAACUACCAGACAUUUUUUUUUCUUGAUUUUCUGACUUAAAAUGCCUCAAUUAACUGCCAAGAAAAGUUUUAGCUCUCUAGCGUGAUGCGGUCAAAGGAUAUUGAAAGUUGCGUUUAUGGUAGCAUUGGAGUGAUAUAAAUACAUGCAAAGAAAAAAGUAUAUAUACAAGGGAUUUGUCCUUAUUUAUCAUAUAUAAUACAUAUAUGUUUGUUUUGUGUUUUAAGUGUGAUAAGAUAAAAAAUAGUUCUUGUUGUGCGUAUUGCAGCAUAGAUCAACACCACAUUUAAGCAUUUUGAGAGAUGUGUUCCGGUUUUACUAAGAAGACAUCGUCCUUUCUCUCCCCAAACUAUCCAAUGACCAUUUUCAUCAUAUCGCUUUGAGUUGAGGGGUUCUUCAACAACAUGACGGCGCUUCGAACUAGACGCUUCUGUGAAAGAAGGUGAAUCCGGAGUUGUGUCGGUUUCUACAUUUUGCAUAACGCUAGGGCGUCCCCUUUUCUUUUCAGUAGAACUGAAAAACACCGGCGUAACGCGUAAGAGCUCAGUCGUGAUAUCCAUCUAGAAUUUUAUAAGUGGAUUAACGAUUUUGAUAUGUCUCCCAUACAGUGAAAUAUUUUCAUGUACCCCUUAUUGGAGCGAUGUUUCACUUUAUGCAGCUCCAUAAGCAUGUCGGCAAGAUCAACUCCUCCCAUGUGUUUAUUAUAUUUGGAAACAAUAGCUGGUCUCGAUACUUCAAUAAUUUGCUUUUCUUUCCCUUUCCAACGCUUACACGUCUCGAUUGGUUCAUCUUCCACAAAUGUGGACAAUAACUGGAUUAUCCAUCCAGCGCACUGGCAAUGCCAAGAUUAGCUUCACAUUUUAUUUCAAGUAUUUUCAAACCUGACUCAAACUUUAGUUCACACUUUCUCAUUCGACUUUUUCGGACCGUGCCGAUGCAAAAUAUUCUCAUUUCUCUUAGAGUCACAAGAAGGCUUACUGACUUUUGUCAAAGUCAUAAAUAAUUCUUGACGAGCCUGCGCGAGUUAAUAUUUAAAUUAAGUAAAAAUGAGUCAAAAGAAUAUAUUUUGAGCUGCACCGAAAUGUGUACUCUUUAUUUAUACUCUUAAGACUACCUUAUUACAUGGUUCUUACUUCUAUUUAUACUAACUAGUAUGUUUACUUAUUACUAGUUGAUAGUUUGUUAAGGUACAGAUUAUAUUAUUUGUUUAGGUUUGUUUACAUAUACAAGGCCUGUCGCAAAAGAAACAGGACUGUCAAAAAAACAACAAAAAAUUAAUAUUUUUCAAAAGUUAUAUUUUUUUAUUCAAAGUAGUUUCCUUGUGCUUCGAUACUGCGUUUAGCCCGGUCAAUUAGCAUUUCAAAUUAGUGUUUAAGGUAAUUUUUCGGAAUGCUUUUGAGAAUAUCGGUCGUCGCUUUUUGGAUAGCUGAAAUGUCCUGAAACCUGUCCUGGGCAAAUGAAGUUUUCCAAAUAGGUAAAAAUCACAGGGUGCCAGAUCAGGUGAGUAGGGUGAGUGAUUAAUGGUUAAUAUGGAGUUUUUUGUCAAAAAAUCAGUGACAAGCGUCGACCGAUGACACGGCGCAUUAUCGUGCAACAGGCGCCAGGACCCUGCCUCACGGUAUUGUGGUCGAGCACGACGAAUGCGUGACAAAAGACGCUUCAUAACACCAAGGUAAAACACAGCAUUAAUCAUUCGGCCAGGUGGGACGAACUCUCGGUGUACAAUACCCUCGGAAUCGUAAAAACAAAUCAGCAUUGUCUUUAUUUUUGACUUCUGAAGACGACCGACUUCUGAUCGUCACAGAGGUCCUCACGACCUUCUUGAUAUCGCUUAAACCACUCAUGCACAUUACUACAGGAUAGGCACUGAUCACCAUAAACUUUUUUCAUCAUUUGAAAUGUUUCAGUAAACGUUUUCCCAAGUUUAAAACAAAAUUUAAUAUUUGCUCUUUGCAUUUUACGACCGAUGACCAAAAGCUGCUGUCACUUUUUGAUCGAUAACAUUGAUUGUAGUUAUCCAAUUGUCUUAAAAUUUUUACGAAAUGUCAACAAGAGAACAAACUUUUUCAUUCAUAUACCCACCAAUAGGUGGCACCACCAGAAACAGUUAUAUUUAAAAAGUUCUGUUUCUUUUGCGACAGACCUUGUAUAUUGCUUGCUUAGAUACAAUUGCUUUGUUUUAAGAUAAGGUUGUUGUGGUAUUCAAACUCAAUGUUGUUUUGAUACUUGUUUGUUUAGGAUUGUUUGUUGCAGUGAUAGUGCAUUUCAAUUGUUCCAACUCAAGGUUGUUUCUGCAUUCUGUUUACUGAGACAAAAGGUUGUUUUGAUGUUUGUUACUAUUAUAAGCAAUACAUUCCUUAACUCGCGCGAGUUAAUACUUUAACCUUUAACCACAACCUUAUCUUUCAGUAAACAUUAAAGAAAAAUCAUCAAAACAACUUUAUCUUAGAACAAUAGAAGCGCACUAUCAGUACAACAAACAAUAACAACCCAAAUAGUUAUUUACUAGUAAACAACUAGCAUCUCAAUAGUAUGAGCAGCGAUAAGCAUAGCCUAUAUAAGCAACUGGAACAAUAGCCUCGAGGUCACUUUAUCAUUAUCGACUGCCGAGUAACAAGUUCUGUAUACCACUUGUAAAGGUACAGUUUAAGUUUAAUAUAUUCAAUACUUAAGUACAUAUGUACAGUGGGGAGCAAAACCGUCAACAUGUUUACUGAAUGCGACUAAAGGUGCUUAUAACUUUUUUUCUACUAGCAGUAUCGGCAACAUUUAUACACCAAAAUAAAGAUAAUAAUUCAAUUUAUUAAAAAUAGAAAACAGAA